This 603-nucleotide ribosomal RNA is filed under the name Salmonella enterica subsp. enterica serovar Enteritidis. RNAcentral describes it as "partial 23S ribosomal RNA". It matches the Rfam family "Bacterial large subunit ribosomal RNA", at positions 1 to 589 of the family's 2925-position model. Lineage: Bacteria; Pseudomonadati; Pseudomonadota; Gammaproteobacteria; Enterobacterales; Enterobacteriaceae. The record is from RNAcentral.
GGGUUGUGAGGUUAAGCGACUAAGCGUACACGGUGGAUGCCCUGGCAGUCAGAGGCGAUGAAGGGCGUGCUAAUCUGCGAUAAGCGCCGGUAAGGUGAUAUGAACCGUUAUAACCGGCGAUACCCGAAUGGGGAAACCCAGUGUGACUCGUCACACUAUCAUUAACUGAAUCCAUAGGUUAAUGAGGCGAACCGGGGGAACUGAAACAUCUAAGUACCCCGAGGAAAAGAAAUCAACCGAGAUUCCCCCAGUAGCGGCGAGCGAACGGGGAGGAGCCCAGAGCCUGAAUCAGCAUGUGUGUUAGUGGAAGCGUCUGGAAAGGCGCGCGAUACAGGGUGACAGCCCCGUACACAAAAGCGCAUGUGCUGUGAGCUCGAUGAGUAGGGCGGGACACGUGGUAUCCUGUCUGAAUAUGGGGGGACCAUCCUCCAAGGCUAAAUACUCCUGACUGACCGAUAGUGAACCAGUACCGUGAGGGAAAGGCGAAAAGAACCCCGGCGAGGGGAGUGAAAAAGAACCUGAAACCGUGUACGUACAAGCAGUGGGAGCCCCACCACCAAAGCAUUUGCUGUACCGCGUUGACGGAGCGAAGCGACGUCAAAC